This 269-nucleotide ribosomal RNA is filed under the name uncultured bacterium. RNAcentral describes it as "partial 16S ribosomal RNA". It matches the Rfam family "Bacterial small subunit ribosomal RNA", at positions 524 to 791 of the family's 1533-position model. The record is from RNAcentral.
UACGAAGGGGGCUAGCGUUGCUCGGAAUCACUGGGCGUAAAGCGCACGUAGGCGGAUCGUUAAGUCGGGGGUGAAAUCCUGGAGCUCAACUCCAGAACUGCCUUCGAUACUGGCGAUCUUGAGUCCGGAAGAGGUGAGUGGAACUCCUAGUGUAGAGGUGGAAUUCGUAGAUAUUAGGAAGAACACCAGUGGCGAAAGGCGGCUCACUGGUCCGGUACUGACGCUGAGGUGCGAAAGCGUGGGGAGCAACAGGAUUAAGAUACCCGUGA